This is a non-coding RNA of Ictidomys tridecemlineatus (thirteen-lined ground squirrel), 69 nucleotides long. The record is from Rfam. NCBI's taxonomy places the organism in Eukaryota, Metazoa, Chordata, Mammalia, Rodentia, Sciuridae.
GGGGUUGUGGCUCAGUGGUAGAACACUAGCCUAGCAUGCAUGAGGCCCUGGGUUCAAUCCCCAGCACCA